This 451-nucleotide ribosomal RNA is filed under the name uncultured Chlorobiota bacterium. RNAcentral describes it as "bacterial SSU rRNA". It matches the Rfam family "Bacterial small subunit ribosomal RNA", at positions 28 to 505 of the family's 1533-position model. Lineage: Bacteria; Pseudomonadati; Chlorobiota. The record is from RNAcentral.
GACGAACGCUGGCGGCAUGCUUAACACAUGCAAGUCUAGGAGCUCUUCGGAGCAACUGGCGCACGGGUGAGUAACACGUAGGUCAUCUGCCCCUAUCACAGGCAUAACAUCGGGAAACCGGUGCUAAUAUCUGAUGAGGUCUUGCGAUCAAAGCCUUCGGGCGGAUAGGGAUGAGCCUGCGGCUGAUUAGCUAGUUGGUGAGGUAAUGGCUCACCAAGGCAACGAUCAGUAGCUGGACUGAGAGGUCGAACAGCCACACUGGAACUGAGACACGGUCCAGACUCCUACGGGAGGCAGCAGUGAGGAAUAUUGGUCAAUGGGAGCAAUCCUGAACCAGCAAUGCCGCGUGUGGGAUGACAGGGCUCAGCCUUGUAAACCACUGUCGGAUGGGACGAGAAGGUUCUUUUAGGACCCGGGACGGUACCAUCAAAGGAAGGGUCGGCUAACUACG